AACGCUAGCUACAGGCUUAACACAUGCAAGUCGAGGGGCAGCAUGAACAAAGCUUGCUUUGUUCGAUGGCGACCGGCGCACGGGUGAGUAACGCGUAUCCGACCUGCCCAUGACUCGGGCACAGCCGCUCGAAAGAGCGAUUGAUUCCCGAUAUGUCUAUGAAGUAGAUUCAUGGAUGAAAGAUUCAUCGGUCAUGGAUGGGGAUGCGUAGGAUUAGGUAGUAGGCGGGGUAACGGCCCACCUAGCCGACGAUCCUUAGGGGUUCUGAGAGGAAGGUCCCCCACACUGGUACUGAGACACGGACCAGACUCCUACGGGAGGCAGCAGUGAGGAAUAUUGGUCAAUGGGCGGAAGCCUGAACCAGCCAAGUAGCGUGAAGGAUUACUGCCCUACGGGUUUUAAACUUCUUUUAUGCGAGAGUAAUGUGCGCCACGUGUGGUGUAUUGCAAGUAUCGCAUGAAUAAGCAUCGGCUAACUCCGUGCCAGCAGCCGCGGUAAUACGGAGGAUGCGAGCGUUAUCCGGAUUUAUUGGGUUUAAAGGGAGCGUAGGCGGGAUAUUAAGUCAGUCGUCAAAGCCUGUGGCUCAACCACAGCCCGCGAUUGAUACUGGUAACCUUGAGUGCGGAUGAGGUGGAUGGAAUUCGUGGUGUAGCGGUGAAAUGCUUAGAUAUCACGAAGAACUCCGAUUGCGAAGGCAGUCCACUGGGCCGCAACUGACGCUGAAGCUCGAAAGUGCGGGUAUCAAACAGGAUUAGAUACCCUGGUAGUCCGCACCGUAAACGAUGGACACUCGCUGCCGGCGAUAUACAGUCGGUGGCCUCGCGAAAGCCUUAAGUGUCCCACCUGGGGAGUACGCCGGCAACGGUGAAACUCAAAGGAAUUGACGGGGGCCCGCACAAGCGGAGGAACAUGUGGUUUAAUUCGAUGAUACGCGAGGAACCUUACCCGGGCUUGAACUAUGGUGGACCGUUCCAGAGAUGGAUCUUCCCUUCGGGGCCGCCAUGGAGGUGCUGCAUGGUUGUCGUCAGCUCGUGCCGUGAGGUGUCGGCUUAAGUGC
This 1057-nucleotide ribosomal RNA is filed under the name uncultured Bacteroidales bacterium. RNAcentral describes it as "bacterial SSU rRNA". It matches the Rfam family "Bacterial small subunit ribosomal RNA", at positions 32 to 1087 of the family's 1533-position model. The record is from RNAcentral. Lineage: Bacteria; Pseudomonadati; Bacteroidota; Bacteroidia; Bacteroidales.